Momordica charantia (bitter melon) is the source of this 552-nucleotide non-coding RNA. The record is from RefSeq and is a predicted model, not a curated record. Lineage: Eukaryota; Viridiplantae; Streptophyta; Magnoliopsida; Cucurbitales; Cucurbitaceae.
CGAAGUUGUUUUGUAGUAACGAGCAUCAAGACGAACCGGUUGGAGGUCGUUUUGGUGUAUUUCUCUGCUGCAAAAAUGUGGACAGCAGCGUUUUGGUGGUGUUCAGCGAUUUCCUUCAUCCGUUCGAAGCCCGAUUUACGCUACCCACACCUUUGCAAGCUAGAUGUAAGUUACCCACACCUACACGAGGUCAACUUUGCGGUGUGAACAGGGCCGACCGUGGUGAUGACGCGAAGGGGGUUUGACCGAGGAGGGAUCACUAGAUGAGUCGGUUAGGAUUAUGGAAAAUGUCGUCCAUCACGAGUAGCGUUAGAAUUUGUUGCUAUGGAGAUACUAGGCGUUUUGUCAACCCGAGGGUCAUUUUUUUUAUUUUAUUGUUUUACGGAUAUUAUUGCUAUACGUGUCACUGUUGUUCGUUGAAGUUUUAGUUAAACGAUUGUUUCUUUUUAAUUAAGAUUCCUAGCCACUGAGGCCGACAUGAGAUGUAUCUUUUGGAAUUGUCCACGAAGGGCGAUUAUUUGAUAAUCUAUAGGUUUGAUAUCAUUGGUAAAA